GGUUUGGAUUCGGUGCAGCUGGAAGGAUUUUUGCUCUUACCUUUUUAAGUUCAAACAGUUGUUAUGUGUAACCAUGGUAACAUGGUGGGUUUUCUAUAACCAAGACCAAAGCUUUUGAGGAAGAAACUGGCUUUUGCAGUAAACUUGGGACAGCCUUCUCGUGAUAGAGGACAGAAUAAAAGUCUAGACCUUUUCUCCAGCUGACCGCCAUCCUCAUGUCCCUGAACCCAAACGCUUUCACCACAACAAUGUUUUGUGGCCCCACUGUGGGACUUUGCCUGGGGCUUCCCACCGGCCCUCAGUGUAUUUUGAAUGAGCACGACCUCCCCACGGACCCCCGACAAGCUUCUUCACCCCGGUCACAGAGGGCUCCGCCUGGGGCCAGCCCACCAGUCGGACCCUGUCGCCUCUUCCAGACAUCCAGGGGAACGGAGCGUGCUCCCCCAGGACAGAGAACACACCCUGCUACACACACACUGUCUGUGGGACUGACAGAGGAUAAAAGGCUUCUGUAGAGGGGAACAUGGAAGGAGAUUAAAGUGGUAUUUCAUUG
This is a long non-coding RNA of Xiphophorus couchianus (Monterrey platyfish), 553 nucleotides long. RefSeq lists it as uncharacterized. NCBI's taxonomy places the organism in Eukaryota, Metazoa, Chordata, Actinopteri, Cyprinodontiformes, Poeciliidae. The transcript has 2 exons. The record is from RefSeq and is a predicted model, not a curated record.